This 253-nucleotide ribosomal RNA is filed under the name uncultured bacterium. Its description in RNAcentral is "partial 16S ribosomal RNA". It matches the Rfam family "Bacterial small subunit ribosomal RNA", at positions 524 to 776 of the family's 1533-position model. The record is from RNAcentral.
UACGUAGGGGGCUAGCGUUGUCCGGAUUUAUUGGGCGUAAAGAGCGCGUAGGCGGCCGAGUAAGUCCGACGUGGAAUCUGGAGGCUCAACCUCCAGCGGUCGUUGGAAACUACUCGGCUAGAGUCCGGAAGAGGAGAGUGGAAUUCCUGGUGUAGCGGUGAAAUGCGCAGAUAUCAGGAAGAACACCCGUGGCUAAGGCGGCUCUCUAGUACGGUACUGACGCUGAGACGCGAAAGCGUGGGGAGCGAACAGG